This 250-nucleotide ribosomal RNA is filed under the name uncultured Actinomycetales bacterium. Its description in RNAcentral is "partial 16S ribosomal RNA". It matches the Rfam family "Bacterial small subunit ribosomal RNA", at positions 82 to 334 of the family's 1533-position model. Lineage: Bacteria; Bacillati; Actinomycetota; Actinomycetes; Actinomycetales. The record is from RNAcentral.
CUGGAGUACUCGAGUGGCGAACGGGUGAGUAACACGUGGGUAAUCUGCCCUGCACUCUGGGAUAAGCCUGGGAAACUGGGUCUAAUACUGGAUAUGACCUUUCUCCUUAUGGGGUUUGGUGGAAAGUUUUUCGGUGUAGGAUGAGCCCGCGGCCUAUCAGCUUGUUGGUGGGGUGAUGGCCUACCAAGGCGGCGACGGGUAGCCGGCCUGAGAGGGUGUACGGCCACAUUGGGACUGAGAUACGGCCCAG